GACGAACGCUGGCGGCGUGCUUAACACAUGCAAAUCGAACGGAAAGGCCCUGCUUUUGUGGGGUGCUCGAGUGGCGAACGGGUGAGUAACACGUGAGUAACCUGCCCUUGACUUUGGGAUAACUUCAGGAAACUGGGGCUAAUACCGGAUAGGAGCUCCCGUUGCAUGGUGGGGGUUGGAAAGUUUCGGCGGUUGGGGAUGGACUCGCGGCUUAUCAGCUUGUUGGUGGGGUAGUGGCUUACCAAGGCUUUGACGGGUAGCCGGCCCGAGAGGGGGAACGGCCACAUUGGGACUGAGGGACGGCCCAGACGCCUACGGGAGGCAGCAGUGGGGAAUAUUGCACAGUGGGCGGAAGCCUGAUGCAGCAGCGCCGCGUGCGGGAUGACGGCUUUCGGGUUGUAAACCGCUUUCGCCUGUGACGAAGCGUGAGUGACGGUAAUGGAUAAAGAAGCACCGGCUAACUACGUG
This 468-nucleotide ribosomal RNA is filed under the name uncultured bacterium. Its description in RNAcentral is "partial 16S ribosomal RNA". It matches the Rfam family "Bacterial small subunit ribosomal RNA", at positions 28 to 507 of the family's 1533-position model. The record is from RNAcentral.